Myotis brandtii (Brandt's bat) is the source of this 64-nucleotide non-coding RNA. Lineage: Eukaryota; Metazoa; Chordata; Mammalia; Chiroptera; Vespertilionidae. The record is from Rfam.
GGCCUCCCUCUCUGGGGCGAUCAAUCACAGGGCCCCUAGAUUGAUCGCCCCGCAGAGGGAGGCC